UACUGGGCAAUGGGCGCAAGCCUGACCCAGCAACGCCGCGUGAAGGAAGAAGGCUUUCGGGUUGUAAACUUCUUUUCUCAGGGACGAANNAAGUGACGGUACCUGAGGAAUAAGCCACGGCCAACUACGUGCCAGCAGCCGCGGUAAUACGUAGGUGGCAAGCGUUAUCCGGAUUUACUGGGUGUAAAGGGCGUGUAGGCGGGAAAGCAAGUCAGAUGUGAAAGCCACGGGCUCAACCUGUGGCCUGCAUUUGAAACUGUUUUUGUUGAGUACUGGAGAGGCAGACGGAAUUCCUAGUGUAGCGGUGAAAUGCGUAGAUAUUAGGAGGAACACCGGUGGCGAAGGCGGUCUGCUGGACAGCAACUGACGCUGAGGCGCGAAAGAGUGGGGAGCAA
RNAcentral lists this ribosomal RNA (395 nucleotides) under uncultured bacterium. RNAcentral's name for it is "bacterial SSU rRNA". It matches the Rfam family "Bacterial small subunit ribosomal RNA", at positions 362 to 771 of the family's 1533-position model. The record is from RNAcentral.